RNAcentral lists this ribosomal RNA (511 nucleotides) under Listeria monocytogenes. Its description in RNAcentral is "bacterial SSU rRNA". It matches the Rfam family "Bacterial small subunit ribosomal RNA", at positions 1029 to 1533 of the family's 1533-position model. The record is from RNAcentral. Lineage: Bacteria; Bacillati; Bacillota; Bacilli; Caryophanales; Listeriaceae.
AAGUGACAGGUGGUGCAUGGUUGUCGUCAGCUCGUGUCGUGAGAUGUUGGGUUAAGUCCCGCAACGAGCGCAACCCUUGAUUUUAGUUGCCAGCAUUUAGUUGGGCACUCUAAAGUGACUGCCGGUGCAAGCCGGAGGAAGGUGGGGAUGACGUCAAAUCAUCAUGCCCCUUAUGACCUGGGCUACACACGUGCUACAAUGGAUAGUACAAAGGGUCGCGAAGCCGCGAGGUGGAGCUAAUCCCAUAAAACUAUUCUCAGUUCGGAUUGUAGGCUGCAACUCGCCUACAUGAAGCCGGAAUCGCUAGUAAUCGUGGAUCAGCAUGCCACGGUGAAUACGUUCCCGGGCCUUGUACACACCGCCCGUCACACCACGAGAGUUUGUAACACCCGAAGUCGGUAGGGUAACCUUUAUGGAGCCAGCCGCCGAAGGUGGGACAGAUAAUUGGGGUGAAGUCGUAACAAGGUAGCCGUAUCGGAAGGUGCGGCUGGAUCACCUCCUUUCUAAGGAA